GAUGAACGCUGGCGGCGUGCCUAAUACAUGCAAGUCGAGCGAACGGACGAGAAGCUUGCUUCUCUGAUGUUAGCGGCGGACGGGUGAGUAACACGUGGAUAACCUACCUAUAAGGCUGGGAUAACUUCGGGAAACCGGAGCUAAUACCGGAUAAUAUUUUGAACCGCAUGGUUCAAAAGUGAAAGACGGUCUUGCUGUCACUUAUAGAUGGAUCCGCGCUGCAUUAGCUAGUUGGUAAGGUAACGGCUUACCAAGGCAACGAUGCAUAGCCGACCUGAGAUGGUGAUCGGCCACACUGGAACUGAGACACGGUCCAGACUCCUACGGGAGGCAGCAGUAGGGAAUCUUCCGCAAUGGGCGAAAGCCUGACGGAGCAACGCCGCGUGAGUGAUGAAGGUCUUCGGAUCGUAAAACUCUGUUAUUAGGGAAGAACAUAUGUGUAAGCAACUGUGCACAUCUUGACGGUACCUAAUCAGAAAGCCACGGCUAACUACGUG
RNAcentral lists this ribosomal RNA (497 nucleotides) under uncultured bacterium. Its description in RNAcentral is "partial 16S ribosomal RNA". It matches the Rfam family "Bacterial small subunit ribosomal RNA", at positions 28 to 507 of the family's 1533-position model. The record is from RNAcentral.